Ipomoea nil (Japanese morning glory) is the source of this 101-nucleotide long non-coding RNA. RefSeq lists it as uncharacterized. NCBI's taxonomy places the organism in Eukaryota, Viridiplantae, Streptophyta, Magnoliopsida, Solanales, Convolvulaceae. The record is from RefSeq and is a predicted model, not a curated record. The transcript has 3 exons.
GAAGAUGAAGAUGGUUCCCGUUUGGCUUAUGAGUUGAGCCUAGCCUAUGUUGGGGUUGUUUUGGUUGGAUAAGCGAUUGAGGUUGGGUAGCUUUGGAGAGC